This is a long non-coding RNA of Carassius auratus (goldfish), 1009 nucleotides long. RefSeq lists it as uncharacterized. NCBI's taxonomy places the organism in Eukaryota, Metazoa, Chordata, Actinopteri, Cypriniformes, Cyprinidae. The transcript has 2 exons. The record is from RefSeq and is a predicted model, not a curated record.
GUGAGUGAUGACAGAAAAAAAAAGAGGGGAAGGGGCUAAGUAUAAAAAUAUAAAUGUCUGUCUCGAGUGUGAAAAUGUUUGAAGAUGGGAGGUAAUACAGACAGAACAGACACCCUAAAGAGGGUGAGAGGAAAAAAAGAGUGCGCAAGAGAGUAGGGUGGGGAUAAAGGGGGAGGGAAGGAAACGAAGAGUGAGAGAGAGAGGGAGAGGGGGAGGAGAAGGAAGCAGAGCACAUUCACAAUUUUCAUUCAAACUGACACAGCCUGUGUGUCCCGGUUUGCACUCCCCACUCCUCUCUUUCUACACACACACACACACACAGACACACACACAGAGCCAGAAACACAAGACCGUCUGCAGAUAAGUUAACAGCGGCUAGAGGACAGCUUCAAGAAGAGUGAGAGACCGGGACGAGAAAACCCGAGGAGACCAGCGGAAGGGGUGAGAAUAGAAAGAGGAGGUCUGGAAAUUCACAAAGAGAUGUCAGGGUGGAAGGUGAGUAGGGCAGAGGACGAAGAGUUUUAAAAUAGAAGAGAGAAAAAGGGAGGUGGAGGAAUGCAGGGGUGGAACGGCCGAGCUCGACGUAUGGAGGGGGGCAGAGAUCGACUGGAGCCAGACUGGGUGUAUGCAUCUGAGAGAGUCUCUGUGGGGGUGAUCUUCAGUGCCAGAGGAGGUUGCCCUGGAUACAGACUAAAUAAUCUCUGCAUGCUUCCCUGCAAAGCACCAUGGGACACUUCAUGUUCCUUGUCCCUCUGUCUAUUAAUGUGACCUGAAGUGUGGAGAGCUCUGUCUGGUGUGCCGUAGAUGGCUGUGAUGGUGCAACCAUGACAAAUCAGAAAAUACAGAGCAGGAGAAUAAAGUCUUUUAGGUGGUUUUAUGUGGGAGUCGGGAGAAAUCAUGUUUCACAGCCAGAAAACCUCUGUGUGGCUGUGCCAAGAAUGACCGUCUGGGAUUGUCUACCUUUGUACUUUCUCCUUUCAACACCAAUCAAAUAAACGUUUGUAAACUA